This 959-nucleotide ribosomal RNA is filed under the name Amolops bellulus. RNAcentral describes it as "partial 16S ribosomal RNA". It matches the Rfam family "Bacterial large subunit ribosomal RNA", at positions 1005 to 2597 of the family's 2925-position model. Lineage: Eukaryota; Metazoa; Chordata; Amphibia; Anura; Ranidae. The record is from RNAcentral.
UUAUUUGAAACGGGGUACAACCCCUGAUACCGGGUUCAUCUAGAUACCUCAAAUAAAGUGGGCCUAAAAGCAGCCAUCUUCCAAAAAGCGUUAAAGCUUAACUUGACCAUAUCUACAAUUCCAUGACUUCUACUCAACCCUUCACCUCUACUGAACUAUUUUAUACCCCUAUAAAAGUCAUCAUGCUAGAACUAGUAACAAGAAAUUGCCUUUCUCCAAAAAUGUAUGUUUAAACCAAAAUGGACCCUCCACUGGUAGUUAACGCAAAUGUAAAUAUCAUAGCACCACACGGCUAGAAAACCCUAUGAUCCUCAACGUCAACCUUACACUAGAACAUUCCAGGAAAGAUUAAAAGAGAAAGAAGGAACUCGGCAAAUCACAGCCCCGCCUGUUUACCAAAAACAUCGCCUCUUGCCUAAAUAUAAGAGGUCCAGCCUGCCCAGUGACAUAGUUUAACGGCCGCGGUACCCUAACCGUGCAAAGGUAGCAUAAUCACUUGUUCCUUAAAUAGGGACUCGUAUCAACGGCAUCACGAGGGCUGUACUGUCUCCUUUCUCCAAUCAGUGAAACUGAUCUCCCCGUGAAGAAGCGGGGAUAAACCUAUAAGACGAGAAGACCCCAUGGAGCUUUAAACCCAUCACACACCUCUACGCACUUAAAUCAGUAUAGCCCAAGAAGCUUGUGUGUUGGUUUUAGGUUGGGGGGACCGCGGAGUAAAAUUAAACCUCCACGAUAGACGGGCUAACACCCUUAUCCAUGAACCACAAUUCUAAGAGCCAAUAAAUUGUUAUCUAAUGACCCAAUUACUUGAUCAACGAACCAAGUUACCCUGGGGAUAACAGCGCAAUCUACUUCAAGAGCCCCUAUCGACAAGUAGGUUUACGACCUCGAUGUUGGAUCAGGGUAUCCUAGUGGUGCAGCCGCUACUAAAGGUUCGUUUGUUCAACGAUUAAAACCCU